This 253-nucleotide ribosomal RNA is filed under the name uncultured bacterium. Its description in RNAcentral is "partial 16S ribosomal RNA". It matches the Rfam family "Bacterial small subunit ribosomal RNA", at positions 524 to 776 of the family's 1533-position model. The record is from RNAcentral.
UACAGAGGGUGCAAGCGUUACUCGGAAUUACUGGGCGUAAAGCGUGCGUAGACGGUUACAUAAGUCAGAUGUGAAAGCCCCGGGCUCAACCUGGGAAUUGCAUUUGAGACUGUGUAGCUAGGGUGCGGAAGAGGGAAGCGGAAUUUCCGGUGUAGCGGUGAAAUGCGUAGAUAUCGGAAGGAACACCAGUGGCGAAAGCGGCUUCCUGGUCCAGCACCGACGUUCAGGCACGAAAGCGUGGGGAGCAAACAGG